ACAGAAUUCAAGGAUCAAAGAAGACUAGCAGACGGAGGACAUCCUAAUCGAUGUCAGGGUGCUGCCGACACUCAAAUACACCUCCACCACCUGCCAGCUACAUCAGAAGAAAUUACGUCAAAAUCCAGCUUGGGGGAGAGCACCCCCAUUUAUCCAGCUAAGUGUUUCUACUCGCGUUUAUACUUUACUCAAAUAAUAAAAAGAUGCGUAAUCAUGAAAACCCAAAUAAAAAUUUUGUGCUUAUAUAUAUCUUUGCUUAGUUUGCUAAAUAAAUAAAUAAAGUGUCUAGGCCAAACUGAACUUAAAUGAUAAACUCUUACAUGGAUAUGAUAAAUAGUUGCUCUGCCAUGUACCUAGUUUUCAAGUUUGAGCUCUCUCUCAAGUUUAGGCAUAACUGUUAUAAUUUAAACCUGCUCUAAAGUCUAAGUCGUUAAUGGAUAUGAUAUGGGAAGGCUGAGCUACUGUUUAUCUAUUCCUAGACAUGCUAGAAUUCUGGAGAAUUUUAUCUCUAAAAAUCUUUAAAAUAACACAUAAUGAGUUCCUGUAUGAUGAGAGUUUAAAAUCCUACCACAGCCAUAUAUACAUGCUUAUUAGACUUUGAGCCACACAUUUACUUUUUACUGCUUAUGAGCAUUGAGUGUGGUCAAGCUGUGUAGACCCUUAGGAGCUUGUCAUGUGGUUAAAAUCAAGAUUCACUUGCACGUUCACUCACACAUCCUGCUUCUACUCCAGAAGUACGCAUCCACAUACAUCCACUCAAUUCCAUCUCCAGAUUCACCUAAAAUUAUUCUACUCCUAUCCAGUAGAGAAUAGCCAAAAACAUUAUCCUAUCCCUGUUUUUCCCUGUAAAAUAAAUGCUCGAGUUAUCUUGGUUACUACCACUUGCUACAUUAUUCCAGGAGAGUGAGUGCUCUAAAAAAGUGAAUACGAGGAAAAAAUACGAGGAAAUAAAAAGGGGCAAGUGCCCGGAACCUCGAAGAAAAGAAAAAGUGAGACGAGAGGUAAAAAUGGACAAGUGUCCGAUAGUAGAAUUAGGGGUACAAGAUACCCACCUGAGAGAAAAGAAAAAUAAAAUGUAGAGCAUCUCAUUCUCCUCAAAAAGCUUCAAGGUACAAGAAAGGUAUGUAUCCCCUUAAGAGAGCAAAAAGUAGAAUUAGACUUUCACCAUUGUUAUCACUAUCAUCACCAUACACCAUUCACUUGCCACACAUGCACAUCUUGAUUUGACUUAUUGACUUGUUCUUCUGGAUCCAUGGUUUGACUAUGCAAUAAAUGUCUUGUAAGUAUGUAUGCUUUAUCUCCCACCUAUGAGCUCCAGAUAUCAAAAUCUUAUUAGAGUAGGGUGAGAGAGAAGGCAAUAUUACUAUGCCCCAUACCAAAAAUACCACAUACUUUGAGAGAAGGAAUAUACCAUUAUUGCCUUGGAAAGGAUCCAGAAAUACCACAAAAGAGAGAUUUGAGAGAGUCAUACAAGGAAUCUCUGAGUUUUAUUUGAAAAUCUGAAAAAACUCCAGAGCUAUAGCUGAUCAAAGAACAAGAGACAUGGUGCUUGACUAGACUGUUCUAUCUUUUAACUACUCAAGACACAAGUGACGGUUGCAAGCCCCAUGGUGAAAGGUAAAAUGAGUAAGUUUUAAGUCUUAACAGUUUACUCUAACUCAGAGAUGAGAUCUUGCUUCAACGCAUGUGUACUUUUAAGGCAUGAAACCUCUGCAAAAACUUUUGAGUCUAUCCUUGCUCAGGGACGAGCAAGAGGUAAGCUUGGGGGAGUUUGUUGAUGGUCCUUAAGUACCAAAUAUAAUCAUCAAAUAAAUAAAGAAAAGGAUCCAAAUGCAACCAACACCCAGACUUAGGGUUUUUAUCUGACAGAAUUCCACAAGUUUUGGUGUUUGUCUAUUUCUGCAGGGGUCAUCAGGAAAUAUGUAGGAAAGGCCCACACGUCGGGUUUACAUAGAGAUAUUGACGUGCCGCGCAAUUUUCUAUCAUCUAGAAAAGUCCAGAAGCCACGGGAACGAACGGAAGGCCGAACGGGCCCGGGGGCAGGGCACCCGCCCUGGUACAAGCACUAAUCACAGAAUGGAGUACACCAUUACAAAGAUCUCGUCAAGUUGAUCAAAAUGCAUAUAUUAUUUGCUAAAUUUGGAGUUCGGAAUCAAGAGAUAUUAAUAAAAGAAGGACUCCACAUAAAAGAGCUGUGGGAUUAAUUGGGCCCAAAUCAGAUUUUGGUCCAUUAAGACCUAUGUCCAUUUUAAUGAGAUAUGGUGGAAAGUUUAGUACCACAUCGCCAGCUGAACCAAAAAGGCACAAAAAGAGGAGGCUAUAUAAGCAAGGCCCCUGGCCCCUGGAGGAGAACACAACAUUAUAGAGUUAAGAGGUGCCCUCGAAGGAUAACCUUUCCUCUAUAUAGAAUUAGGGCUUAGCAUCUAAUGUGAGAUUAGAAUUAGUUCUUCUAAUUUCUUCUAGAUUGAGAGAGAUAGAGUGGAGGUGUAGAUCGGAGGAAGCCCGGCCUGUCGGUGUCUACUCCGAGGUUGUACCUGCGGGAUCAAGUCUCCUAACCCGAGGCUUGCUCCUAUGAUUCUUCAGUAUUUUGACUUCUAAAUUCUAGUAAGUUCUUGUUUUAUUGUUCUUUGGUUUAUGAGUUUACUUUAAUCUCUUCCGGUUGAGUUUAGAGUAAUCAUUACUAGCGUAAACGUGGUGUUUGGGCUAGGGUACUCAUAGAUAUCUCCUGACUAGCUGGACCAUGGUAGUAGCGAGGAACAUGACAUUUCUGAGUUACCUUUGCAUCCCACAUCUUGUUAGCAGGACGGGUAGGGUUUAUAGGUGCGGGUCGAACAUCCUUUGUGGUGUCUAGAUUCCGUAAGCUUCUCUAAUAGAACAGUAGAUCAUCCUUACCAAGGUUAGAACGAGACUACGGUUGUAGUCUUCUCUAUACAUCGCUCACAUCAAGAAACAUUCUUUGUAGCCUAAAAGGUAGUAGCAAUAGAUUUGGUUAGUUAGAUGCACGCUUUCUCCUAGCGGUAAAAAUAUAAAUACGAUACUCUGGAUAACCUCCCGGGUGAAAUGCUCACCGAUAUCCAUACGCUUGCGGAUCAUUUUCUGAUGGCGUUACCAAAUAUCAACACUGGGAAGUCCUGAGAUAAACUCACAUUGGAGACAAAGAGAGACACAUAAAGUUUAACAAUUUACACAAGGAAGACAUAGCUCAUAAGAGAUGAUCCAUGGAGGGUGCCACAAACACGAUGCAUAACUGCUAAGAAAGGAAAGCUUCCACAAGGUGAUACUGUACCAUCACUCUUCAAGUAAGGUAACAUCUUAAGGUACUUGACUAUCACUUUUAUAAGUUUCUUCUUGGUUCUGGCGUUCACAUGAAUAAAAGAGACAAACAUGUAUGAUUUACAACUCUAGAUUAACCAACCCAAUCGAUUCAAUAUGUUUAGUCCUUCCACCUUUGUGAUCCCACACUCCUAAUCAUAUGAGCUAAAAUGUUGCACACUCAAUGUUUGGAAGGUAUAUAAAAAACACAACAUAAAUAUAGAUAGAUUAUCUUUCCAUUAGGUUGAGCGAUCUGAUCUGACAAAUAUUUUAAAUGCUACACUCAUGAUCUUAUUAUCCAUAAACUUUGUCUUGCUCACUAUGCUUAAGGUUAGAGAAGAACAAAUACACUUUUGGUUCUGUUGGUGCUUUCCACCAACAGGGCCCAUGCACUUGAUCUUUGCCUUGUCUCUAUGAGCAGGUACACUUCGAGCAAAACAUGGAGGAGUUUUACAACUCCCACACUCCACCAAGUGAAGGACCUGGAUCUACGAGCACAAACAUACUGAGCAGGAUGCUGCUGUGGGGGUAUAAACCCCUAUACCCUCAUGGGCCGAUAUGGGCCGCACCAUCAGAGGUGGCUCGGCCCACAAGAUGAAGACGUGUGGCGCAUGACGCUGGUCGACGUGCACCGCAAGGCUACAAGAUAUUGUACCAAAUAGGAUAGUUUACUUGUAACUCUGUCCCUUCACGAUAUAUAAGGAGGGGCAGGGGUCUCCUAGAGGACAGUUCAUACACAACACAUUAUUCUCUCAACACAAUCCAAUACAAUCAGACGCAGGACGUAGGUAUUACGCCCACACGACGGCCAAACCUGGAUAAAAACUUUGUCCGAGUCUUGUGUCACCAUCGAGUUCGUAACUUGCGCACCGUCUACUGAUAAACUACUACCGUGGGUAUACCCCAAGGUAGACUGCCGACUAGCUUUCGUCGACAGUGGCGCGCCAGGUAGGGGGUGUGCGUACAGCUCUCCUAGACGAACAAGAUGGCCAUCAUCCCCGACUUCGCGGCCAUAGCGGGCGGCUUCACGUUCAUCGUCAGCUUCAACAGCUUCACUGCCAUGACCGCAGAGGAGGCGUAGAUCCGACCUGUGCCGAUCACUUCUUCACCGACGUCGGUCGUGGCACCAACCACGCUGACUACGACUUCCACUACUCCAGCAACGUCUCCGACCAUGCCGACAACGCGUCAUCCGCUUCCCUGCUACAAAGGGAGGCAAAUUGACGACACCGACGUGCUCGCGCUAUCGACCAAGUUGUUUGGCCUACUUGAAGAACGGCGCUACGACAACCGCGACCACCAUCAUGACAACAAGUCAAAAAGCUCGAGGGCCAGACAAUUUUAUCACCACCGACCAGACUUUCGUCCAAAGAUAAGUACAAUUCUAAUAUUUUAUUUAUUUUUAGCAUAAUAUUUUUUAUUAUCCUCCAAAACAACUUUUUGGUUAGCCGACUAGUUUUUUCUCCUACACGAGUUUUCCAGAGCCGGUACUGUCUCCGACUCCUCCCUACACGUGCAGGAGAUCUGCUCUUUGCGUUCCGGGUGGUCGGCAGUAGCUCUCUGGCGAGGCUGGCAAUCCCACGCGUGUCUAGGUUUCGCACCUCAUGCUGAUUAUUGGCUAAACCAGAGCUGGUACAAGCUCUAGGAUGAAUUAACUACUCGUGCUAAUUUUAUAACAAAAAAUCUAAAACUUAUCUGAGUACUGAUUUUUUAUCUAAAGUUUAUUUAUACAUCAUGUACUACCUAUUCUCUAUAUUUAUUUUUCAGGAGUUUGGCCCAGUCGACAAGCUACGCUCGGGGACUCGUCGACUAUUCCCUACGCUAUGCUCGGGGACUGCUCCGACCACCGAGCACGUUUACGUUCCCAACCGCGCUCAGGGACUUGUCGACUACUCUCUAGGCUGUGCUUGAAGACUGUGCCGACCACCGAGCACGUUUACGUUCCCAACCACGCUCGGGGACUUGUCCACCAGUCCCUACGCCGUGCUCGGGGACUGUACCUACCACCGAGCACGUCUACUUUCUCAACCGUGCUCGAGGACUCGUCAAUCACUCCCUUCACUGUGCUCGGGGCUUACUUCGAUCACUCUCCAACCACAGCUUGGGGACUGUUCUUCUCAGUUACAUAUGAAUUGGACUCAUAUACAACUGAGGGGUAAUUUUAUUUUUUAGACCUUGCUAUAAGGCUCAUACUUCGCCUUCCAGCAAGCUCGGGGACUACAUCGGUACGAUGCAUCUGGCGAUGCAUCUCAGUUUUAGAAUAUCUAUGAAGACUUUUUUGAUCCUAGCACCACGUGCCUACGUCACCUACUACCAGGCUCGGGGACUAAGUGGGCACACUUCACCUUGCGGUGAACAUGCUUGCCUUUUGAAAGUCUGUACUUUUCAGAAAAGUAAAGUUGGCACACUUCACCAGAAAAGAAAUCUUUUUUGAUUAAGAGCACCAUGCAUUCUUCGAACAACCUACUUCUUCAAUGUCAAUGUUGAUCAACUGUCUUUUGAGUUGGUUAAAUACAGUUGCAACUGUUUGGGCGACUUUCCUGCUUAUUGAAGACGUCAAGCCUCACUGGUCGAAGAAGCUCAAGACGGCGUGUUACAUCACAAUACAUGGUGCUCGGGGACUAGCUGUGGGGGUAUAAACCCCUAUACCCUCAUGGGCCGAUAUGGGCCGCACCAUCAGAGGUGGCUCGGUCCACAAGAUGAAGACGUGCGGCGCAUGACGCUGGUCGACGUGUACCGCAAGGCUACAAGAUAUUGUACCAAAUAGGAUAGUUUACUUGUAACUCUGUCCCUUCACGAUAUAUAAGGAGGGGCAGGGGUCCCCUAGAGGACAGGUCAUACAUAACAUAUUAUUCUCUCAACACAAUCCAAUACAAUCAGACGCAGGACAUAGGUAUUACGCCCACACGGCGGCCGAACCUGGAUAAAAACCUUGUCCAAGUCUUGUGUCACCAUCGAGUUCGUAGCUUGCGCACCGUCUAUCGAUAAACUACUACCGUGGGUAUACCCCAAGGUAGACUGCCGACUAGCUUCCGUCGACAGCUGCCAACGUCGCACUUCGAACUGUUGGGUAAACGAAGAACAUGGGUGACACCGUAUCAAGAGGUGCAGACGUCAAGGUCCACGCCUGAAUCAAAUGACGCACCUAAAGAAUGAACACGGUGAGAAGUAUUGUUCAGAAGACUUAAAACAUUGAACCCUUGCCGAAAGGUAAAAUCGGUAGUUAUCCAUAUUUAUUCUUUCUGCAUUCCCUUUUUCCUUAAAUUAUUUGCUUUCAUUAAAUGACUUGUUAGUUAAUCAUGCUAUCUUGAAAAGAAAGUAAAAAUGUUAAAAAUCGUAAGCCCCAUGUGAGUAUGCUCGUGGCAUAAAACCCAUAAGUACAUUCACUAUGGUGGCGUAAAAAUAAAAUAAAUAUAUUCCUGUCCUACAAAAAUUAAAAUAUAAAAAUAGAUUGUGAUCCUACUAAAGAGAGUAACAUUUAUAGAGGAAGCUCAAUAUGAUUACGGCUAAGAGAUUUUAUGCUAACACUUAACCAGUUCCACAAAGCUUUGUUGUCUAUUUGAGCUCCACAGAAUUCAAGAAUCCAAGAAGACUAGCAGACGGAGGACAUCCUAAUCGCUGUCAGGGUGCUGCCGACAUUUAAAUACACCUUCGCCACCUGCUAGCUACAUCAGAAGAAAUUACGUCAAAAUCCAGCUUGGGGGAGAGCACCCCCAUUUAUCCAGCUAAGUGUUCUACUCACUUUAUACUUUACUCAAAUAAUAAAAAGAUGCAUAAUCAUAAAAACCCAAAUAAAGAUUUUAUGCUUAUAUAUAUCUUUGCUUAGUUUUCUGAAUAAAUAAAUAAAUAAAGUUUGCUAUAAACCCUCAUGAUAAGCUCUCACAUGGAAAUGAUGAAUAGUUACUCUGCCAUGACUAGUUCUCAAAAUUAAAAAUCUCUCUCAAGUUUAGGCAUGACUGUUAUUAAUUAAGUUUUGCUCAACUUGUGGGAAGAGUACUUGAUCUAAAGUCUAAGUCGUUAACGGAUACGAUAUGGGAAGGUUAAGAUGUUGUUUAUCUGUUCCUAGAGAUGCUAGAAUUCUGGAGAAUUUUAUCUUUGAAAAUCUUUAAAAUAACACAUGAUGAGUUCCUGUAUAAUGAGAGUUUAAAUUCCUACCACAGCCAUAUAUACAUGCUUGCUAGACUUUGAGCCACACAUUUACUUUUUACUGCUUAUGAGCAUUGAGUGAGGUCAAGCUGUGUAGACCCUUAGGAGCUUGUCAUGUGGUUAAAAUCAAGAUUUACUUGCACGUUCACUCACACAUCCUGCUUCUACUCCGGAAGUACGCAUCCACAUACAUCCACUCAUUUCCAUAUCCAGAUUCACCCAAAAUUAUUCUACUCCUAUCUAGGAGAGAAUAGCCAAAAACAUUAUCCUAUCCCUGUUAUUCCCCGUGAAAUAAAUGCUCGAGAUGUUUUGGUUACUACCACUUGCUACAUUAUUCCACGAGGGUGAGUGCUCUAAAAAAAGUGAAUACAAGGAAAUAAAAAGGGGCAAGUGCCCAAAACCUCAGAAAAAAAGAGAAGAAAAAGUGAGACGAGAGGUAAAAAUGGACAAGUGUCCGACAGUAGAAUUAGGGGUACAAGAUACCCACCUGAGAGAAAAGAAAAAUAAAAUAUAGAGCAUAUCAUUCCCCUCAAAAGCCUCAAGUGCAAGGAAGGUAUUACCCACUCAAAAGAGCAAAAGUAGAAUUAGACUUUCACCAUUAUUUUCACCAUUAUCACCAUUCCUUCGCCACACAUGCACAUCUUGAUUUGACUCAUUGACUUGUUCUUCUGGAUCCAUGGUUUGACUAUGCAAUAAAUGUCUUGUAAGUAUGUAUUAGCUGUCUCCCACCUAUGAGCUCCAGAUAUCAAAACCUUAUUAGAGUAGGGUGAGAGAGAAGACAAUGCCACUAUGCCUCAUACCAAAAAUACCAUAUACUUUGAAGGCAUACACCAUUACUGCCUUGGUAAGGAUCCAGAAAUACCAUAAAAGAGAGACUAGAGAGAGUCAUAUAAGGAAUCUCUGAGUUUUAUUGGAAAAUCUACAAAAACUCCAGAGCUAUAGUUAAUCGAAGAACAAGAGAUAUGGUGCUUGACUAGACCGUUCUAUCUUUUAAUUGCUCAAGACGCAAGUGACGGUUGCAAGCCCCAUGGUGAAAGGUAAAAUGAGUAAGUUUUAAGUCGUAACAGUUUACUCUAACUCAGAGAUG
Molecule: long non-coding RNA, 8545 nt
Filed under: Sorghum bicolor (sorghum)
Lineage: Eukaryota; Viridiplantae; Streptophyta; Magnoliopsida; Poales; Poaceae
Description: long non-coding RNA (SBIC_LNC017374)
Source: RNAcentral